CCAAGCCGGCAGGCGUUGCAUGAUCGGUGUCGUGGGACUAAAUGGAAUUGACUGCCGUUAAUUCAACAAGUCAGAAAAUAAUGAAAUAGAUGAAGGACGUGGGAAAGUCCGGCAUAGAAGGUGAGACCCCUGUAGUCGAAAUUUCAUUAUCUUGUUUUUAGUAUCCCAAGUAAUACCGGACUCGUGUAAUCCGGUAUGAAUCUGGCGGGACCACCCGCUAAGCCUAAAUACUCUCUGGUGACCGAUAGUGAACAAGUACCGUGAGGGAAAGGCGAAAAGAACCCCGGGAGGGGAGUGAAAUAGAUCCUGAAACCGCAUGCAUACAAACAGUGGGAGCCUCGCAAGGGGUGACUGCGUACCUUUUGUAUAAUGGGUCAGCGACUUACAUUCAGUGGCAAGGUUAACCGAAUAGGGAAGCCGUAGAGAAAUCGAGUCCGAAUAGGGCGUCAUAGUCGCUGGGUGUAGACCCGAAACCAAGUGAUCUAUCCAUGGCCAGGAUGAAGGUGCCGUAACAGGUACUGGAGGUCCGAACCGACUAGUGUUGCAAAACUAGCGGAUGAGCUGUGGAUAGGGGUGAAAGGCUAAACAAACUUGGAGAUAGCUGGUUCUCUCCGAAAACUAUUUAGGUAGUGCCUCAAGUAUUACCGACGGGGGUAGAGCACUGUUUUGGCUAGGGGGUCAUGGCGACUUACCAAACCAAGGCAAACUCCGAAUACCGUCGAGUACAGCUUGGGAGACAGAGCACCGGGUGCUAACGUCCGGACUCAAGAGGGAAACAACCCAGACCGCCAGCUAAGGUCCCUAAAAUUGGCUAAGUGGGAAACGAAGUGGGAAGGCUAAAACAGUCAGGAUGUUGGCUUAGAAGCAGCCAUCAUUUAAAGAAAGCGUAAUAGCUCACUGAUCGAGUCGUCCUGCGCGGAAGAUGUAACGGGGCUAAGCCAGUUACCGAAGCUGCGGAUUUGCAAUUUAUUGCAAGUGGUAGGAGAGCGUUCUGUAGGCCUGUGAAGGUGUCUUGUAAAGGAUGCUGGAGGUAUCAGAAGUGCGAAUGCUGACAUAAGUAGCGACAAACAGAGUGAAAGACUCUGUCGCCGAAAAUACAAGGGUUCCUGCGUAAAGUUAAUCUUCGCAGGGUUAGUCGGCCCCUAAGGCGAGGGCGAAAGCCGUAGUCGAUGGGAACAAGGUAAAUAUUCCUUGACCUGAUGGUAGUGACGGAUCUCGUAUAUUGUAAGUUCUUAUUGGAUUGAACUUGCCUUGAAGAGGUCCCAGGAAAUAACUCCAUCAUUAAGACCGUACCCUAAACGGACACACGUGUAUUGGUAGAGAAUACCUAGGCGCUUGAGAGAAUGAUGUUGAAGGAACUCGGCAACUUGCCUCUGUAACUUCGGGAUAAAGAGGGCCUUAUUUUGCGCAAGCAGAGUAAGGUGGCACAAGCCAGGGAGUAGCGACUGUUUAACAAAAACACAGGACUCUGCUAACACGUAAGUGGAUGUAUAGGGUCUGACGCCUGCCCGGUGCCGGAAGGUUAAAGCAAGAUGUGCAAGCAUCGAACUGAAGCCCCGGUGAACGGCGGCCGUAACUAUAACGGUCCUAAGGUAGCGAAAUUCCUUGUCGGG
RNAcentral lists this ribosomal RNA (1613 nucleotides) under freshwater metagenome. RNAcentral's name for it is "bacterial LSU rRNA". It matches the Rfam family "Bacterial large subunit ribosomal RNA", at positions 269 to 1976 of the family's 2925-position model. The record is from RNAcentral.